Molecule: ribosomal RNA, 418 nt
Filed under: uncultured eukaryote
Lineage: Eukaryota
Description: bacterial SSU rRNA
Rfam family: Eukaryotic small subunit ribosomal RNA
Source: RNAcentral
GACACGGUAAGGAUUGACGGACUGAAGGCUCUUUCUCGAUUCCGUGGAAAGUGGUGCAUGGCCGUUUUUGGUUGGUGGAUCGAUCCGUCUGGUUAAUUCCGUUAACGAACGAGACCUCGGCACUCCGAAUAGCGCGGCGGACGUCGCGGCCUCCGGGCCGUCUUCCGCACGAGCUUCUUAGAGGGACCGUCCCCCGCCGGGGAAGGAGGUGCGAGGCAACGACAGGUCUGUGAUGCCCUUAGAUGUUCUGGGCCGCACGCGCAUUACACUGACGCGUCCAACGGGUGACUCCCGACCCGAAGGGGCCGGGGAAUCCGCAAGGCGCGUCGUGAUGGGGAUUGAACGUUGCAAUUGUUGUUCACGAACGAGGAAUUCCUAGUAGGCGCGGGUCAUCAACCCCGCGCCGAUUACGUCCCUG